Molecule: unclassified non-coding RNA, 297 nt
Filed under: Hevea brasiliensis (rubber tree)
Lineage: Eukaryota; Viridiplantae; Streptophyta; Magnoliopsida; Malpighiales; Euphorbiaceae
Source: RNAcentral
CAUACAUCUUGGCGUUGCCGUUAUAGACCAUGUCGGUCUUCACAUAGUUCGCCGACGCGGUGAAUCCGCUGACAAGACCGAACGGCAGAUCGGCGGGGAGACCAAGUGUGCCCGAUGCAANNNNNNAUAGCCGAACACGGAGUAGGGCGUGCUGCGGCUGCCCUGCGACAGCAUCGCCUGCGUCGCGUAUUCCUGCAUGGUGCCGAGCGUGCCACCGAUCGCGGCAUUGGCGGUCUGUCCGACGGCGGACUGGCCUGCGUAGGAACUGGCCAUCUGGUCGUAGGUCGUCAGCCCCUG